RNAcentral lists this transfer RNA (72 nucleotides) under Neotoma lepida (desert woodrat). It matches the Rfam family "tRNA". Rfam says of the family: Transfer RNA (tRNA) molecules are approximately 80 nucleotides in length. The record is from Rfam by way of RNAcentral. Lineage: Eukaryota; Metazoa; Chordata; Mammalia; Rodentia; Cricetidae.
GGUGGUAUAGCUCAGUGGUAGGGCACUUGCCUGGCAUGCAGGAAGCCCUGGGUCUAAUCCCAAGCACUUCAA